CCAAGUCAUUUAUUAUCUGUUACUUGACUAUACAAGACAGCUCUCAAGACACUGCUUCUGAUUUUGAUGAAAGCUCUGGAGGAUACUGUUGGUGUGGUGGAAAA
This 104-nucleotide long non-coding RNA is filed under the name Amphimedon queenslandica. Its description in RNAcentral is "uncharacterized LOC109591131". The record is from RNAcentral. Lineage: Eukaryota; Metazoa; Porifera; Demospongiae; Haplosclerida; Niphatidae.